RNAcentral lists this transfer RNA (72 nucleotides) under Crassvirales sp. RNAcentral's name for it is "tRNA-Asn". It matches the Rfam family "tRNA". Rfam says of the family: Transfer RNA (tRNA) molecules are approximately 80 nucleotides in length. The record is from RNAcentral. Lineage: Duplodnaviria; Heunggongvirae; Uroviricota; Caudoviricetes; Crassvirales.
GGGUCUUUAGUUCAAAGGUCAGAACAAGGGGCUGUUAACCCUUAGAUGUAAGUUCGAGUCUUACAGGUCCCG